Molecule: long non-coding RNA, 403 nt
Filed under: Physcomitrium patens
Lineage: Eukaryota; Viridiplantae; Streptophyta; Bryopsida; Funariales; Funariaceae
Description: long non-coding RNA (PPAT_LNC002651)
Source: RNAcentral
AAUAAAUGUAUAUGUGCCAAAAAGACUAUAUGCACCAAAAAGAUUGUAUGUAUACAAAAGUUGCUUUGAGGUCUAGAAUUCAAGUUAAAGAAUUUUUCUCUCUUGUAAGCAAAAUUAUAUAAAAUUUGUUCUAUGGAUUAUUUUAAAGUUUGCUUAUGAAUCUACUUAUCAAAUCUUGGUUUUGAAAAAAACUUUAGGAAGCCAACCCUUUAUGUAUAUAUUUUAUUUCAUAAAACUAGGCAAUGUCUAAAAGAAAGUUUGUCCUUCUUUUAAAUUAACUGAUUUAAAAAUACUAUGUAUCAUAUAGUCAACUAUUGCAUACUAUGUUGAUAGAUAUUGUGCUGAUUUCUUUUGUGUAUUGUAAGAAAGCAAUAAUGGAUCUUAUAAAUGACAAGGUGCAUGC